CCUACGGGUGGCAGCAGUCGAGAAUCAUUCACAGUGGGGGAAACCCUGAUGGUGCGACGCCGCGUGGGGGAAUGAAGGUCUUCGGAUUGUAAACCCCUGUCAUGUGGGAGCAAAUUAAAAAGAUAGUACCACAAGAGGAAGAGACGGCUAACUCUGUGCCAGCAGCCGCGGUAAUACAGAGGUCUCAAGCGUUGUUCGGAAUCACUGGGCGUAAAGCGUGCGUAGGCUGUUUCGUAAGUCGUGUGUGAAAGGCGCGGGCUCAACCCGCGGACGGCACAUGAUACUGCGAGACUAGAGUAGUGGAGGGGGAACCGGAAUUCUCGGUGUAGCAGUGAAAUGUGUAGAUAUCGAGAGGAACACUCGUGGCGAAGGCGGGUUCCUGGACAUUAACUGACGCUGAGGCACGAAGGCCAGGGGAGCGAAAGGGAUUAGAUACCCUGGUAGUC
Molecule: ribosomal RNA, 446 nt
Filed under: uncultured bacterium
Lineage: Bacteria
Description: partial 16S ribosomal RNA
Rfam family: Bacterial small subunit ribosomal RNA
Source: RNAcentral